UUUUCCGGUUGAUCCUGCCGGAGGCCACUGCUAUCGGGGUUCGAUUAAGCCAUGCGAGUCGAGAGGUGCAAGACCUCGGCAUACUGCUCAGUAACACGUGGACAACCUACCCUGAGGAGGGGGAUAACCCCGGAAAACUGGGGAUAAUACCCCAUAGGCCAGGGAUGCUGGAAUGCCUCCUGGUUGAAAGGUCCGCCGCCUCAGGAUGGGUCUGCGGCCGAUUAGGUUGUUGUUGGGGUAACGGCCCAACAAGCCAUUGAUCGGUACGGGUUGUGGGAGCAAGAGCCCGGAGAUGGAUUCUGAGACACGAAUCCAGGCCCUACGGGGCGCAGCAGGCGUGAAAACUUUUCAAUGCGAGAAAUCGUGAUAAGGGAACCCCGAGUGCCCGUAAAUUCGGGCUGUCCAUCAGUGUAAAAAACUGGUGAAUAAAGGGCCGGGCAAGACCGGUGCCAGCCGUCGCGGUAAUACCGGCGGCUCGAGUGGUGGCCGCUAUUAUUGGGCUUAAAGCGUCCGGAGCUGAGUUGUUAAGUCUCGUGCGAAAUCCACCGGCUCAACCGGUGGGCGUUCGGGAGAAACUGGCAACCUAGGGACCGGGAGAGGUGAGAGGUACUCCAGGGGUAGGAGUGAAAUCCUGUAAUCCUUGGGGGACCACCUGUGGCGAAGGCGUCUCACUAGAACGGCUCCGACAGUGAGGGACGAAAGCUGGGGGAGCAAACCGGAUUAGAUACCCGGGUAGUCCCAGCUGUAAACGAUGCGCGUUAGGUGUAUCGGUGACCACGAGUCACCGAGGUGCCGAAGGGAAACCGUGAAACGUGCCGCCUGGGAAGUACGGUCGCAAGGUUGAAACUUAAAGGAAUUGGCGGGAAGGGC
Molecule: ribosomal RNA, 870 nt
Filed under: uncultured methanogenic archaeon
Lineage: Archaea; Methanobacteriati; Methanobacteriota
Description: bacterial SSU rRNA
Rfam family: Archaeal small subunit ribosomal RNA
Source: RNAcentral